GUACGCUAUUCAGAGUUUGAUCCUGGCUCAGGAUGAACGCUAGCGGCAGGCUUAACACAUGCAAGUCGAGGGGCAGCAUGAGACGGAGAUUCGUCGAAGUCUUGAUGGCGACCGGCGCAAGGGUGCGUAACGCGUGAGCAACUUGCCCGUUUCAGGGGGAUAACCGGUGGAAACGCCGACUAAUACCCCAUGGCACUGGAUUCAGGCAUCUGAAUUCAAUUAAAGAAUUUCGGAAACGGAUAGGCUCGCGUGACAUUAGCUGGAUGGCGGGGUAACGGCCCACCAUGGCUACGAUGUCUAGGGGUUCUGAGAGGAAGGUCCCCCCACACUGGAACUGAGACACGGUCCAG
This 350-nucleotide ribosomal RNA is filed under the name uncultured bacterium. RNAcentral's name for it is "bacterial SSU rRNA". It matches the Rfam family "Bacterial small subunit ribosomal RNA", at positions 1 to 334 of the family's 1533-position model. The record is from RNAcentral.